GCGAGUGUAGUUCAACGGUAGAACAAUGUUCAUCUAGGAGCCCCCCCCGCUCUAAAAAAAACAUCACGCAGGUUCGACUCCUGCCGCUCGCA
RNAcentral lists this transfer RNA (92 nucleotides) under Lactiplantibacillus plantarum. RNAcentral's name for it is "Lactobacillus plantarum tRNA-Phe". It matches the Rfam family "tRNA". Rfam says of the family: Transfer RNA (tRNA) molecules are approximately 80 nucleotides in length. Their secondary structure includes four short double-helical elements and three loops (D, anti-codon, and T loops). The record is from RNAcentral. Lineage: Bacteria; Bacillati; Bacillota; Bacilli; Lactobacillales; Lactobacillaceae.